RNAcentral lists this ribosomal RNA (431 nucleotides) under uncultured bacterium. RNAcentral's name for it is "partial 16S ribosomal RNA". It matches the Rfam family "Bacterial small subunit ribosomal RNA", at positions 29 to 507 of the family's 1533-position model. The record is from RNAcentral.
AACGAACGCUGGCGGCAGGCUUAACACAUGCAAGUCGAACGCCCCGCAAGGGGAGUGGCAGACGGGUGAGUAACGCGUGGGAACAUACCCUUUCCUGCGGAAUAGCUCCGGGAAACUGGAAUUAAUACCGCAUACGCCCUACGGGGGAAAGAUUUAUCGGGGAAGGAUUGGCCCGCGUUGGAUUAGCUAGUUGGUGGGGUAAAGGCCUACCAAGGCGACGAUCCAUAGCUGGUCUGAGAGGAUGAUCAGCCACAUUGGGACUGAGACACGGCCCAAACUCCUACGGGAGGCAGCAGUGGGGAAUAUUGGACAAGGGGCGCAAGCCUGAUCCAGCCAUGCCGCGUGAGUGAUGAAGGCCUUAGGGUUGUAAAGCUCUUUCACCGAUGAAGAUAAUGACGGUAGUCGGAGAAGAAGCCCCGGCUAACUUCGUG